AUACUUACCAGGCGAGGGAAAACCGUGAUCAUAAAGGUGCUUUUCCGGGCAAGGCCCAUCCAUUGCACUUCUCAGGGUGCCGAUCUCUUCAAUUUCCCCAAAUGCGGGAGACUCGGUUGUGUAAUUUAAGGCAGUGGGGGACGGCGUUCACUUUCUUCUCUU
The sequence is a small nuclear RNA, 162 nucleotides long. Its record names the gene U1. It matches the Rfam family "U1 spliceosomal RNA". Rfam says of the family: U1 is a small nuclear RNA (snRNA) component of the spliceosome (involved in pre-mRNA splicing). The record is from Ensembl.